Long non-coding RNA from Gopherus flavomarginatus (Mexican gopher tortoise), 1201 nucleotides. RefSeq lists it as uncharacterized. The record is from RefSeq and is a predicted model, not a curated record. Lineage: Eukaryota; Metazoa; Chordata; Testudines; Testudinidae. The transcript has 5 exons.
GUUAAGAUAAAAAUUUCCAAAAUAUCCUAAAUGACUUAAAGGUCUAAAUUGCAUUGACCUUCAAUGGAAUUUGGGUGUCUGAAUCACUUAUGCUCUUCUGAAAAUUUUACUCUUCGUCUAAUUAGGGUAUGUCUUCACUACCGGCCAGAUCUAGUCUAGACUCGAUAAACCAAUCCCCGAGCGCUCUCGUGUUGACUCCUGUACUCCAGUUCAGUGAGAGGUGCAAGCAGAGUUGACGAGGGAGUGGCAGCAGUCGGCUCACUGUAGUGAAGACAUUGCGACAGUAGAUGACUUCAGGGAACUUGAAAGCAUAUUGAAGAAGAAGAAUGUCCAAGUGAUCUUUUCUGAGAAACUUCCUGUCCCAUGUAUGAAGACAAGAAGGCAGAAGUAAACCGCUGGCUAGAACUAAUUGGGUGAAAUCCUGGCCCCACUGGAGUCAAUGGGAGUUUUGCUGUUGCCUUCAAAAUAGAAUAAAUGAAUAUUUAGCUAUUUCCAUGUUCCUAAACACUUACUCACUGGAUAUCCAAGAACUGGAUGGCACAAUGGAGGAGAUAACGAAUGACAGGGAUUAUGACCUACUGGACAAAACUGAAACUUUGUGGAUGGAGUCCUGUUCCUAGAAAGGAGAGAAUAAGGCAGAGGGAGCUGUACAUCCUGUUGACUCAACUCUGAACCUGCAUGCUGCAAUCUAGAGAAAACAUCUGGAUAAAAUUACAAACGAGAGCGUUAAGUUACCGAAUAACACAUCUUCCUGGCAAGUCCACAUUCAAACUUUGGCUAUACAAUUUGUAGAUUGAGUAGACAUUUUAUUAUUAUUUUAUGGGGCAGUUCAAGAAAAAAAGUCAGUCUGCUUGGAAUUUUUACAAGAAAAUAGCUAAUAAAAACAUAUUAAACUUUUGGCAAUGCCAGAAGUUUGUACUGUGUAUGGGAGCAUGAAGAUGUGAGCUACAGCACUGGUUCAGUGCAUCAGUCACUGUGAUUAUAAUGUUAAUGUCUGAGCGGUAACACUUGGAUAUGAGUGUCUGGACAGAAUUCAGGAUCUCAAGAAGAGUUUUUCUGUUUCCCAGUGGCAGCUGCUGUCCAAAUCAAACCACUUUUUUUGGGGUAGCAACAUUUAUAUCAUACCAGGGUGGAAUUAGAAUUUUUAAGGCAGGAGAAGUCAGAUUCAGUUUAAAAUGUAUGACUAUUCUAUCUGCUGAAG